UGGGGAAUCUUGGACAAUGGGCGCAAGCCUGAUCCAGCCAUGCCGCGUGGAUGAUGAAGGCCUUAGGGUUGUAAAAUCCUUUCGCCGAGGACGAUAAUGACGGUACUCGGAGAAGAAGCUCCGGCUAACUUCGUGCCAGCAGCCGCGGUAAUACGAAGGGGGCUAGCGUUGUUCGGAUUUACUGGGCGUAAAGCGCGUGUAGGCGGGUUGGAAAGUUGGGGUGAAAUCCCGAGGCUCAACCUCGGAACUGCCUCCAAAACUUCCAGCCUGGACUCAAGUAGAGGCAAGUGGAAUUGCGAGUGUAGAGGUGAAAUUCGUAGAUAUUCGCAGGGAACACCAGUGGCGAAGGCGACUUGCUGGACUUGUAGUGACGCUGAGACGCGAAAGCGUGGGGAGCAAACAGGAUUAGAUACCCUAGUAGUCCCUGAGCGGGCUGGCAAGGCGCAU
RNAcentral lists this ribosomal RNA (447 nucleotides) under uncultured bacterium. Its description in RNAcentral is "bacterial SSU rRNA". It matches the Rfam family "Bacterial small subunit ribosomal RNA", at positions 355 to 825 of the family's 1533-position model. The record is from RNAcentral.